This 484-nucleotide ribosomal RNA is filed under the name uncultured bacterium. RNAcentral describes it as "partial 16S ribosomal RNA". It matches the Rfam family "Bacterial small subunit ribosomal RNA", at positions 30 to 507 of the family's 1533-position model. The record is from RNAcentral.
AUUGAACGCUGGCGGCAGGCCUAACACAUGCAAGUCGAGCGGAUGAAGGGAGCUUGCUCCUGGAUUCAGCGGCGGACGGGUGAGUAAUGCCUAGGAAUCUGCCUGGUAGUUGGGGAUAACGUCCGGAAACGGGCGCUAAUACCGCAUACGUCCUGAGGGAGAAAGUGGGGGAUCUUCGGACCUCACGCUAUCAGAUGAGCCUAGGUCGGAUUAGCUAGUUGGUGGGGUAAAGGCCUACCAAGGCGACGAUCCGUAACUGGUCUGAGAGGAUGAUCAGUCACUCUGGAACUGAGACACGGUCCAGACUCCGACGGGAGGCAGCAGUGGGGAAUAUUGGACAAUGGGCGAAAGCCUGAUCCAGCCAUGCCGCGUGUGUGAAGAAGGUCUUCGGAUUGUAAAGCACUUUAAGUUGGGAGGAAGGGCAGUAAGUUAAUACCUUGCUGUUUUGACGUUACCAACAGAAUAAGCACCGGCUAACUUCGUG